Long non-coding RNA from Folsomia candida, 353 nucleotides. RefSeq lists it as uncharacterized. The record is from RefSeq and is a predicted model, not a curated record. Lineage: Eukaryota; Metazoa; Arthropoda; Collembola; Entomobryomorpha; Isotomidae. The transcript has 2 exons.
CUAUGGUGAGUGCAGAUAUCAGUUUACGUAUUAGUGCCUGACUAAACAUGAUCCUCAACUCGAAAUUCGGUUUUAUUUUAUUUUUUACAACUUUGUUAAUUUUGUGCAGUUUUUUUAACCAUGUGAAAUCGAAACAGUUCCGCUGCCUGCCACCUUACCAUACGUGUAAACCAGGGAGUGGAGCUUGUUGUGACGAUUUGGGCUGUAAUAAAGGGUCUGACGGCGAAUUUUUUUGUGAACCUGCUGCACAAAAACGUAGACAUUGAGCAGUGUAGAUUAGGAAAUAUAUUUCAAAAUGUGUCAUAUUUUUAAGAAAUUGUUUGUAAUAAAUUUGCCUGAAUUCUAAAAUUGUA